This 262-nucleotide long non-coding RNA is filed under the name Sarcophilus harrisii (Tasmanian devil). RNAcentral describes it as "lncRNA (ENSSHAG00000029886.1)". Lineage: Eukaryota; Metazoa; Chordata; Mammalia; Dasyuromorphia; Dasyuridae. The record is from RNAcentral.
CUCCUCUAAGUACCAGCCAUCAGACUGGAAAAGACAGGGAACAGAAAUAUUGGGUGCAUCCUGGAAGCGGUUUGGCUAAAGGGAGCCAAUGCAGCUGGCCUAUCUUUGGCAGUUCACAGACUGGCACCCAAACAGGGACAAACCACCACACAGGGACUUGCCAUUUCCGCCGAGUCCACCCUUGGCCCAAGAUCAUUCAACAAACACAUAGUGUUGAUGAUCAAGGUACCCAAGCACUCCAGCAGCCAUCAUGAUCAGCCCC